CUGAGCGCCGUCUUGUCGCUGGCCGCCGCCGUG
RNAcentral lists this small RNA (33 nucleotides) under Propionibacterium australiense. RNAcentral describes it as "CRISPR_Spacer". Lineage: Bacteria; Bacillati; Actinomycetota; Actinomycetes; Propionibacteriales; Propionibacteriaceae. The record is from RNAcentral.